RNAcentral lists this long non-coding RNA (1497 nucleotides) under Anas platyrhynchos platyrhynchos (common mallard). Its description in RNAcentral is "lncRNA (ENSAPLG00000023475.1)". Lineage: Eukaryota; Metazoa; Chordata; Aves; Anseriformes; Anatidae. The record is from RNAcentral.
AGAAGGUCAGUUUUCUUCCUCUUCUUGAAAAAGCUUUGGGUUCCUGCAAAAUAACCCAUCCCUUAUUGCACUCCACGUCACAAGCUCGAUCGUAAAGUGGGCAAAAUUUGGUUGCCUUCCGACCUGAACCACCCAAACCCUGGGCCGUUGAGCGGUGUUCAAGCGAUGAGUGGUCAAAACACGCUGCAGUUCCUGAGGGAUUUGGUGAGUGACUCCAGCAGGUUGUCUGAAAGCAACCUUGUCCUCUACAAACCUCUUCCAAGUUACCCUGGCACACGUAGAGUGUCUUCUCAUGGAAGAGAUGCUCUUCCAAGUUCUCUGCCAGCAUUCAUCCAGUUGCAGAUUAUCCUUGCGAGGAACAAGAAGGCACCGAUGGCUAAUUAAACACGGCAAAUAUACGUCCUAGCUAGAACUGAGAACUCCCACAAGUCGCCUUUGCAAAGGCUUUGUUGGUGAUUAUGAAAGUCAAACACAUAUGAUUUUCUUCAGAGCAAGAAUAAGCCCGUGCUACAGAUAACUGCAUGUAGUCUAUGCUAAUAAAACCAGAAGUGGGCAAUAUGCUCAUUGCUGUUUGGGGAAUUGCUGUAGAUUGUGUUAGGCACUGUCAUCUUUAGGCAUAUUGAUGAUGGUCAUGGUUGCCCAAAAGAUUUUAUCACUUAUGUUGUCUGAGAACUUUCAAACAUACGUUCAAUUUUUUUUUUUUUUUUUAAUUCUCCAAGGAAAAUAAUAGAAAAUCUCCAGAUUUUUAACAUUUAACAUUUUUAACAUCUUUCUUUUAACAUUUUGGCCUUUUUCCUCUCCAUGUCCCAGUUUUUCCAUCUCCUAAACGAUGCCAAAAUCCACUUUACAGGAACGUUGGAAGGCUUUAAUGACAGAUCAGAAGUGUGCUGAGCUCCUUGCUGGAGGGUGCCAUGUGUUAUGGUUAAUAAUGCAGACCCAAGUGACAACAGGAAUUACAAAGGGUGCUGUGAUGCCAUCCCAGAACUCUGCAGGCACGUUCCGAGGUAUGACAUUCACAUUUGUGCUCUGGUGGAAAACCUGGUGUUCCCUGAGCUCUGGGGGACUCCUCCUGUCUUUGGACGUCUCUUCCAGCACAGCAGACGCCACCUGCAGCAUCCCUCCCAAGGAGCUCCGCUUUCAAGAAAUGCACACGCGAGGUUCUCAGCUCUGGAUUUUCCCGAGAUACCAUUGGGGGAUUUUCCCGAGUUGUUCUCCUGCCCAGAUGUUAUUCUUCAGAGUUCUGUUUUGCCGCUAGAGCGAAAAACACAAGGUCUUGAAGAACUCGCAGCCAUAACAAAGGCGAGAAGCAAAGAAGCGAGCCAAACCAACAGAAGGUCCCUGGGGAGCAGAGCAGCACUGAAUCCGCCUGGCCAGGGGAUGUGCAGAGCUCUCGGUGGCUCAGCCUCCAGCUCCUGCCCUGAGAAGGGCUCCUCCUCCACGGGUCCAGUGGAAUGGGUUAAAAGGGGAAAAGGCAGAAGGCUCUCACCCUCAAUUUAA